GACGAACGCUGGCGGCGUGCUUAACACAUGCAAGUCGAACGGAAAGGCCCUGCUUGCAGGGUACUCGAGUUGCGAACGGGUGAGUAACACGUGGGUGAUCUGCCCUGCACUUCGGGAUAAGCCUGGGAAACUGGGUCUAAUACCGGAUAGGAGCCAUUUUUAGUGUGAUGGUUGGAAAGUUUUUUCGGUGUAGGAUGAGCUCGCGGCCUAUCAGCUUGUUGGUGGGGUAAUGGCCUACCAAGGCGGCGACGGGUAGCCGGCCUGAGAGGGUGGACGGCCAUAUUGGGACUGAGAGAAGGCACAGACUCCGACGGGAGGCAGCAGUGGGGAAUAUUGCGCAAUGGGCGCAAGCCUGAUGCAGCGAGGCCGCGUGGGGGAUGACGGCCUUAGGGUUGUAAACUACUUUCGCUAGGGACGAAGCUUUUUGUGACGGUACCUAGAUAAGAAGCACCGGCUAACUACGUG
RNAcentral lists this ribosomal RNA (465 nucleotides) under uncultured bacterium. RNAcentral describes it as "partial 16S ribosomal RNA". It matches the Rfam family "Bacterial small subunit ribosomal RNA", at positions 28 to 507 of the family's 1533-position model. The record is from RNAcentral.